AGGUGUAGAGUAUUGUUAUAUAAAAGAUGAAAAUAUGAAUUGGCAUAUAUAGAAGUAUUGAUAAAGAUAGUGUAAUAGUGUUGACUUUAUUGGUAUAGUGGAUUAUAGGCAGAGAACGCAUUAGUGUCGGUACUUUUUGCAUCAUGGUUUAUAGAGAGAGUUCAGUUAGCUGUGUUCCCGAAAGUCAUAGAUCUAUUCUAAUUGAAAUAAGCUGUUGUUCAUAUAGUUAUGAGAUGUGCUGUGCUUUAAUGUUGGAAAAUUGUUUGAGAAGGUUAGAAUAGGGCGAAAAGCUAUUCGCGAUGGCUGAUAGCUGGUUAGGGAGGAAAUGUAUUUGAGUGCAGGCUCUUCUUUUGUUUGUUUUAUAUAUAAAGCGAAUAAGGGUUUGGCUGAUGUAUAUGGGAGUUAGCUCGUGUGCGUGUAUGGGUUUAUGGUAAGUAGUACUAGGUAGGAUUUAGACUGUCUUUCUUUAUAAAACUUAUUUAAGGUAAACAAAAAUGUAUUGUUUGUUAGGUACUCCCUUAGUCUGGUUAAUGUAGUUGGUUCGGAUUAGUAUAAAAUGAGUAGAAAUGGUAGAAUUAGAAGUUACUUAGGUUGUUGGGUGUGAAUCCGACAUAUAAGAUUUGUAUAUACGUUUUUGAUAGGUUUUUGUUGAAGGAAUAUACUCUUAAUGAACUCGGCAAAUCUUUUCUGCACCUGUUUAUUAAAAACAUGGCCUCUUGAUUUAGGUUGAAAAGGGGUUAGGCCUGCCCGGUGGGUUAUUCUAAACGGUCGCAGCUUUUACUGUGCUAAGGUAGCGUAAUAGGUCGUCCUUUAAUUGGGGAAAAGUAUGAAUGGUCAGAUGGUGGAAAGACUUUAUUAGGGGUAGUAUUUUGAAGUUUACUUUCAGUGUGCAAAGGCCUGAAUAAUAUUAUUAGACGAGAAGACCCUGUUGAGCUUGAUAAAGUAUAGCCAAUUAGGCUGUAUAGUACGUUUGUUCGGGGCCGAGAGGAAGGGAUGAUUAUUCCUUCUUUGUCUGUGAGGAUCCAGCAAGGCUGAUAAGAAGAAGAUAGUUACCACAGGGAUAACAGCGCAAUCUUUUUGUCAAGAUCUAAUUUGAGGAUGGGUUUGCGACCUCGAUGUUGAAUCAGAGUUUCUAUUAGGUGUAGCAGCUUAGUAAGUGUGACUGUUCGUCAUUUGAAAUUUUACGUGAUUUGAGUUUAGACCGGCGUGAGCUAGGUCGGUUUCUAUCUGUAGUUUGGAAAAUCCUAGUACGAAAGGAUCGGGUUUUUUAGUUUUUACUAAAGUGUUUUGAUACGGGUUGAGUUUAUAUAUUUAUGGGUUGUUAAUAACCUACAUAUGUGUAG
RNAcentral lists this ribosomal RNA (1343 nucleotides) under Hiatula diphos (diphos sanguin). Its description in RNAcentral is "Soletellina diphos (diphos sanguin) 16S ribosomal RNA". The stretch from base 647 to 1343 matches the Rfam family "Archaeal large subunit ribosomal RNA", at positions 1423 to 2834 of the family's 2987-position model. RNAcentral also lists the same sequence under 1 other name. The record is from RNAcentral. Lineage: Eukaryota; Metazoa; Mollusca; Bivalvia; Cardiida; Psammobiidae.